Long non-coding RNA from Ostrea edulis (European flat oyster), 881 nucleotides. RefSeq lists it as uncharacterized. Lineage: Eukaryota; Metazoa; Mollusca; Bivalvia; Ostreida; Ostreidae. The transcript has 4 exons. The record is from RefSeq and is a predicted model, not a curated record.
GAGGAACAAUGCUGCACAUCAUUUGUGGAAACGGAAGAGUUAGAGGCAGAACAGGAGGAACAAUCAUGAACAUCAUUACUUGAAAUGGAAGAGUUAGAGGCAGAACAGUCAUUUCACCCAAGGAGGCAUGCAUAUGGAUUUAGGCUGUGAAAAAGAACCCCAAACAAAAUGGCGGCUGGUGAAUUAGAUAAAGUUUCUGAGUGUAGGAUCUGAACGGAGAAUAGGAAUACUGCAUCCCAUCUGACCCUGCAGGAAGAAAGACCUCUGGCAAAGACAAGAACAAAGGAAGGAGAACAUUUCUGGAAAUUUAUGAAAUCUUCAGUGUGUUUGGACACAGGAGCUAUGAUAUCCAUCCAUUCUGGUUGCCUCGGGAUCGAUUCUUGUGAAUAUAGAAAAUUGGAAAUUCAAAUGUUGGUUAUUUUACACUUUAAAAGUGCUUACUGCUUAGUCCAAUAUCUUGAUAAAUCUAGUCUUUUGUGAUUUUUCAGGCAAAUUAAAUCUCCAACACAUGUAUACAUUUUUGAUAAAUUACCUCAAGGACCCUAUAUUUUUUCAAAAGCAAUAUAUAUCUGAAGAAAAUAAAACCAUUUUUGUUGGGUCACACAAUGAAUAGAAAUGACAGAUGUAGUGCUUAUAUCAUGGAAUUUCUGUAAACAGAUGAUAUUUUUUACACAGGUUUUAGCUCACCUGAGCCAAAAGCUCAAGUAAGCUUUUCUGAUCAAAAUUUGUCCGUUGUCUGUCGUCGUCGUAAACUUUUCACGUUUUUGACUUCUUCUCAAGAACCGCUGGCCAAUUUCAACCAAAUUUGUCACAAAGCAUCCUUGGGUGAAGGACUUUCAAGUUUGUUCAAAUUAAGGGCCAUGUCCCGUUCAAAGGGAAGA